RNAcentral lists this ribosomal RNA (468 nucleotides) under uncultured bacterium. Its description in RNAcentral is "partial 16S ribosomal RNA". It matches the Rfam family "Bacterial small subunit ribosomal RNA", at positions 28 to 507 of the family's 1533-position model. The record is from RNAcentral.
GACGAACGCUGGCGGCGUGCUUAACACAUGCAAGUCGAACGGAAAGGCCCUGCUUUUGUGGGGUGCUCGAGUGGCGAACGUGUGAGUAACACGUGAGUAACCUGCCCUUGACUUUGGGAUAACUUCAGGAAACUGGGGCUAAUACCGGAUAGGAGCUCCUGCUGCAUGGUAGGGGUUGGAAAGUUUCGGCGGUUGGGGAUGGACUCGCGGCUUAUCAGCUUGUUGGUGGGGUAGUGGCUUACCAAGGCUUUGACGGGUAGCCGGCCUGAGAGGGUGACCGGCAACAUUGGGACUGAGAUACGGCCCAGACUCCUACGGGAGGCAGCAGUAGGGAAUAUUGCACAAUGGGCGGAAGCCUGAUGCAGCAACGCCGCGUGCGGGAUGACGGCCUUCGGGUUGUAAACCGCUUUCGCCUGUGACGAAGCGUGAGUGACGGUAAUGGGUAAAGAAGCACCGGCUAACUACGUG